RNAcentral lists this ribosomal RNA (417 nucleotides) under Drosophila kepulauana. Its description in RNAcentral is "partial 16S ribosomal RNA". The stretch from base 1 to 161 matches the Rfam family "Archaeal large subunit ribosomal RNA", at positions 1892 to 2099 of the family's 2987-position model. The record is from RNAcentral. RNAcentral also lists the same sequence under 1 other name. Lineage: Eukaryota; Metazoa; Arthropoda; Insecta; Diptera; Drosophilidae.
CACCUGUUUAACAAAAACAUGUCUUUUUGAAAUAAAUUUAAAGUCUGACCUGCCCACUGAAAUUUUUAAAUGGCCGCAGUAUUCUAACUGUGCAAAGGUAGCAUAAUCAUUAGUCUUUUAAUUGAAGGCUGGAAUGAAUGGUUGGACGAAAUAUUAACUGUUUCAUUUUAAUUUUUUAUAGAAUUUUAUUUUUUAGUCAAAAAGCUAAAAUAAUAUUAAAAGACGAGAAGACCCUAUAAAUCUUUAUAUUUAAUUUAUUUUUAUUAUAAAGAUUAAUUUUAUUUAAAUAAAUUUAAAUAUUUUAUUGGGGUGAUAUUAAAAUUUAAAAAACUUUUAAUUUUUAAAAACAUUAAUUUAUGAAUAAUUGAUCCAGUAAUAUUGAUUAAAAAUUUAAGUUACUUUAGGAUAACAGCGUAA